This 4777-nucleotide long non-coding RNA is filed under the name Linum usitatissimum (flax). RNAcentral describes it as "long non-coding RNA (LUSI_LNC005850)". Lineage: Eukaryota; Viridiplantae; Streptophyta; Magnoliopsida; Malpighiales; Linaceae. The record is from RNAcentral.
UAGGGACCAAAGAAAGGCCCUAUUAACUUAAGAAGCAGCUCUUGUGAGGAGGAUCAGCGAUGAUGGGAUCUGCUGACUUGAGGUUUUCCUUUUUGUGCAUGACAAAUAAUAAGGAACUGAGUAGUUUUGUGUGUUGAGAAUCGAGAAUGGCUAUUGUCCAAGGAGUGAAGUUUUCUUUAGAGAUAGAAUUGGAGGGAGAGAACAAAUAAUUGGGUAGAUGAUCACACCUUUCCCCCCUCCCUAUCCAUGUUGUAAUAAGAUAGUUGCCCCUGCAAAUCUAUUUAUUUCAAUCUGCUUUUGAACAGAUGCAAGUGUUACUUUGAGGUUUAAGAACAAGUUCCAAUUUGAUUUGGUUGCACCAAUUUUACAGGGUUAUUGACCUAAUACGUCUCGUACAAUAACGCCUUGGUCAUAACUGUUUAAAAAUUAUUGUACUAAGUCUUGAAUUUGUUUUCCAUCGGUGACUAAUUUAUCAACUUAUUCUGUUAAACUCGACACGUAGGACGGUUUUGGAGCGACAACUCAACGCAAUCAACUACACUGUUUCAUAAAAACAUGCAACGUCGACUUUAACAUCAUUCUCAUCCUCUUCAAUCCGAAAACAUAUGUCCCUUUUGGAGCGACAACUCAACGAGUAAAUGUAUAAUGGAUAUGGUUGAGCCAAAUGUCAUCCAAAGAAACCAUAUUUAUANNNNNNNNNNNNNNNNNNNNNNNNNNNNNNNNNNNNNNNNNNNNNNNNNNNNNNNNNNNNNAUAUUUAUAAUAUAUAUAUAUAUAUAUAUAUAUAUAUAACGGCAUCGAUAUAUAGAAAGCGAGCGCUUUUGGUACGCGAGGGUAUUCAUUACCUUCAAUACUAAAAAUCAAAAUUUCUAAAAUUUAAAAUUCAAAUUAUAAAUCAAUCAAAUAAUAAUGUUAGCCAUAAAGUUUUGGAGAUGAUGCCUAACCUAGAUACCAUAACUUGGAACUCUCUCAUUACCGCUUGUGCAGCUAAUGGAAUGGGGCAUAAAGCACUGACAUUUCUGGAAAAGAUGUAGAAUUCUGAUCAUUUGAAGCCUGAUUUGGUUUCUUGGAGUUUGAUGAGGAAGCCAUAGAUUUGCUGUCAAGCAUGCAAGCAGAAGAAGGUCCCAACCGAAUUCACGUACCGUGGCAAGUGUUUUCCAGUGUGUGCUAGAUUGGAAAGGAGUAGGCUUGGGAAAGAACUCCAUGGUUACAUUGCGAGGCAUGGUUUUAUGGCUAACACUUAUGUGGUGAAUGGAUUGGUUAAUGUAUAUAGGAUAUACAGCAACAUGAAAAGCGCGCAUGCAAUCUUUUCAAAAUUUGCAGUGAAAAAUAGAGUUUCCUACAACACAAUGAUUGCAGGGUAUUGUGAGACCUGAAUCGUGUCCAAGGCAAUGCAACUCGUGGAGUUCGGAGAAGUUUAAUUAUGUGGAACUCCAUGAUUGUAGGAUACGUAGAUAACAUUGGAUGGCCAUCGGAACAGAUUGUACCGGAUUCUUUUACGUUAGGAAGUGCCUUUAAUGCUUGUGCUAAUAUGGCUUCUUUGAGAAAGGGUAAGGAGAUUCAUUCUAUUGCUAUUUCCCGAGGGUUGCAAUCUGAUGCAUUCGUAGGAGCAGUUCUUGUGGACAUGUACUGUGCAUGUCAGGAUAUAGUAGCUGCUCAGUUGGCUUUUGCUGAGGUUAUUGAUAACGAUAUCACCACCUGGAAUGCUCUGAUAUUUGGAUACGCUAGCUUACACGAUACUGAAAAGGUUCAAGUUUUGCUUCAGCAAAUGAGGGAAGAUGGUCACGAACCGAAUUCGUACACAUGGAAUGGUAUUCUGAAAUGUCAUUUACAAGAUGGCAAACUAGACUUAGCGGAGCAGUUAUUAUCUGAAAUGCAAUGACAGCUUAUAGUCGGCUACCGGAACCAAAUUUGGUGUCCCACAACGCAAUGCUCUAGGCUUAUGCCAUGCAUGGAUAUGGGGUGCACGGAAUAUCUCUAUUCCAAAAGAUUCUGGAAACUGGGUACAGACCUGAUGAAGUAACUUUCCUAUCUUCUCUUUGUUCCUUCAUGCUGGAUCGGUUGAGAGGGGUCGUAUACUGUUCGGAGUGAUGGAGAACUCCGGCAUGAAACCCACAUUAAAACAUUUUACAGCAAUGGCUGACCUGCUGAGCCGUUCAGGAAAGCUUGUAGAAGAGCAUAAGCUGGUCAAAAGGAUGCCCAUGGAAGCUGAUUCAGUUUUAUAGGGUGCUUUGCUUGGAGGUUGUGUGAUUCAUGGUAAUGUUGAGAUAGGAGAGAUAGCUGCAAGGAAUCUGUUUGAACUAGAACCAGAGGAGAGUGGGAAUUAUGUGAUGUUGGCUAAUCUGUAUGCUUAUUCAAAAAGAUGGUCGGAUUUGGAUAGAACAAGAAAUGUUUUGAAAGCGAGAGGAUUGCAUAAGAAUCCUGGGUGUAGAUGGAUUGAAGACAGAGAAGAAGUCCACACCUUCCUUGCUUGUGAUAUAUCUCAUAAAAGAGCAGAUGAAAUCUAAUUUGCUUUAGAUACUUUAACCCUUCACAUGAGAACAAGGUUGUUAAUAUCUUCAGAAGUGAAAUACACCAUUUAGAAGGAGGUCGUCUCUCAAAUGUACAUGGUUCAGAGAGGGACUUGACUAGUAUGUAAUGGGAUAAAAUUCAGUCAAUCUAAUGAACUAUUUACACACACUGCUACUUCUCCAAUUCUACAGAACAGUCUCAGCCGUGUACUUGGGGAUCAAAGUUAGUAGUGUACUUGAUUUUGGCUGUCUUCCUGAAAUGUUAAUUUUAGUAAUUGCUCUUUCCUGUUUCAGAUCUGGAAGCCUAAGGAAUGCCUCGAAUUAUUUCCCAGCAGUAGAAAUGUACAAGCAGAGGCCGACAUAAUUGAUCCGCUCACUGUUAAACUACCCAACCUUGGAAUGACUCUUUUUGCCGAUGCAGUUCAGGCAAAUAAAAGAUCCAAUGGACAUCAUCAAAAUGACAAUUUCUAGUCAACCGGGGGCGUAUGCACAUGUUGAUGAACUGAUAGACGUUGCCAAAUUUCUUGGAUUGAACUCUCCAGAUGACACUUUAGCAGUUCAGGAAGUAAUUGCCAGAGAAGCCGCUGUGGCUGAUGAUCUGCAGUUGGCAUUUGACCUCUGCCUUGUUUUGUCUAAUAAAGGACAUGGACCCAUAUGGGAUUUGUGUGCUGCAAUAGCAAGGGGUCCCACCCAUGAAGAUAUGGAUAUACGCUCAAGAAAGCAGCUAAUAGGUUUUGCUUUGAGUCACUGUGACGAGGAAUCUAUAAUGGAGCUUCUUCAUGCAUGGAAGGAACUUGAUAUGCAAGGGCACGGAAGAGAUGCACAAACUCAAAUCAAGUGAGGGCUCUGUUGGAAUAAUGAGUUUCAAUCCAGUGUGCCUGUCAAACUGUGUCCGGUUAUUUGUGACAUUAGUGAGGGAGGACAUUGUAUCGCCAAGUCAGGCCUGGGGGACCAUCGUCAGCUACGUAAAUAACGGGUUAAUUGGUGUGAGGGAGGACAUUGUAUCGCCAAGUCAGGCCUGGGGGACCAUCGUCAGCUACGUAAAUAACGGCUUAAUUGGUGAUUGUGCAGUUGAAGCUACGGUCUUUUCUGGUUGCAGUUUCGGUGCUGUAUUGGAAUUGUACUCGGAAAUGAUAUCACAGGAUGUCGAUAGUUCAACUGCUGAAACUCGAAAUCUCGCUCACCUCUACGGAAGCAUGCUGGAUCAGAUCUUAAGGGACUUGGUCAACGGAACCCUUGACCGCAAGGAUCUGUUUCACCUACUAUCAUCUCUGGGUAAGAUGGAAGGUAAACGUGGAGCAUCUUCAGCAGGUUAGGCGUGUGGUUUGGGAAAGAAUGGCACAGUUCUGUGAUGAUUUGCAGCUACCGAAUAACAUCCGAGUAUAUGCCUUGGAAAUUAUGCAGUUCAUUGCAGGUGGAAACACUAAAGGUUUCUCUUCAGAGCUUCAGUCCAAUGUCUUGCCAUGGGAAGGCUGGCAUGAAUUGCUCACAAGUAGUACGAACGAGUCUACUGGAACCCUUGGGCUGCCUGAUCGUCCAGAUAAUUCUAGCAGGCUCACGAGCACUUUGGUAUCCCUGAAAUCAUCCUAGCUCGUGUCAGCAAUUUCUUCCAGUAUGGAAAUCUCCCCUGACGAUCUCUCAGACACUGAGGCUGCUACUUCCUGCUUUUUGAAACUGUGUGAAGUCUCCAGUACGAAUCAGCAUGCGGAGGUGAAACAGAGUAUAAGUAUAGUGGUUCAAGGUCCAGAACUGAAAGCCACAUUUUCCUCCGGGAGGUAAUUGCAGUAGCUCCACCGUAGUUCGAGAUCCAGUCGCACCCUUUUUCCAUCGCUCCUUCUCCACUGUAAGCUCCCUCACCUAGCAACCGUAAUGUGACAUAGCUUAAAAACACUUCCAAACAUAGUGAUGGGCCCUUCAAUAAGCAAGCCCCAACCACCAUCUUAAUUCUGCAACAAAGCAUCCAUCCAAUAAAUAGCAAUUGAGUCCAGAAACAUUAGAAGGUGGAAAAAGAGAGGCAGAAACUGCAAUGUCGAAAGUGUUCUGCAGAAAAUUGCAUGCCUGGUGAUUGUAGAGGUAACGGCCAUCUCAUGCUUGUCAUGUUCCGACAGAACUACAUAUAAGCCAAAUUUUCCUAAACCAAACAUAAGACCUAACUAAUCAUCUAUUCACCUGAGGAAUUGGAAUGUUAAGAAUUUUCCUGCAAAUUGACACCAAACAAAGAACAGCUAGAGUAAACUGAAUCCACCACCAACAAAAAAAAAACAAAAA